GAAAUUCCUUCUGAACUAAUAGCAUGGGAACCUACAGAUGGUGCCAAUCUUGCAGGAAUAAUCAACAUUUUCUUUGGUUGGUCAAUUUGGAUAACGUCACUACCUUUUGUGAGAGCGAAGAAUUUUGAACUUUUCUACUGCACUCAUCACCUAUACAUCAUCUUCAUUAUCUUCUUGGCUAUGCAUGUUGGCAACUUUUUCUUUUGCAUACCUGCUGGAGCAAUAUUUCUUUUCAUCAUCGAUCGUUUUAUCAGAUUCUUCCAAUCUCGAAAUAUUGUUGAUAUAAUUUCCACAAGAAGCCUUCCCUUGAUGUGGGAGUGAUUGUGUG
Molecule: unclassified non-coding RNA, 328 nt
Filed under: Hevea brasiliensis (rubber tree)
Lineage: Eukaryota; Viridiplantae; Streptophyta; Magnoliopsida; Malpighiales; Euphorbiaceae
Source: RNAcentral